This is a non-coding RNA of Brachypodium distachyon (stiff brome), 125 nucleotides long. The record is from Rfam. Lineage: Eukaryota; Viridiplantae; Streptophyta; Magnoliopsida; Poales; Poaceae.
AACUUACUUCCUCCAUUCCAUAAUUCUUGUCAAAAUAUUACAUGUAUCUAGACGCUUUUUAGGAAUAGAUACAUCCAUUUUUUGGCAAAUUUGAGACAAGAAUUAUGGAACGAAGGGAGUAUUAA